UUUUGUAUUAAACCACGUAUCAAUACGCUUUCUAUAUUGUUUGGCCACGUACCCAGCCACUUUACUCACCUCUCCAUUUCUUUAUUUGAACAUCUCUCUCUUAAUACUCACAAUCUCCUCCCGUCCCCUGCACCAUCCUUCAAGCUUCUGCCAGAAUCUCUUCACCCACCCUUCUGCUUUCAUUCCUCACCGCUGAACUCGUCUCCACGGCCCCGUUUUCUCGCCGCCGUGUUCACCGGAAUCAUCAGCCGCCGCGCCUCCCGACGAAGCGCCGAUGUUCUUGUUUUUCUGAUCCCCCUGCACCUGUUCUUGAAGUCAGGCACCGUCUCUUAUUUCUUUGGCUGAUUGACUCUAUUUCCUGAUCAGCAGUGCACCUUAUUUCGUAUUGUUCUGAUUUAGAAUUGAACGAGACGUUGAUCGAGAAGUGAUUGAAAUGGGUAUUCAAAAAUAGCCAAGUUGUGUUGCAAGUUGAAGUUAGGCAGAGAUUGCUAUAGAUAGAAUCUUGUCAGAAGCUGGCAGAAAGGAAUGAUAUGGCACUACAUAGUGUUACUAGAACUCUGAGAUAGACACCGGAGUUAAGAUAAUGUUAAAGAUGGUUCGCCUAUUUAGGUUAAGCAUAAGAGUAAGGCUAGGCGAGGAUUGCAAGUGACUAAGUUUCAACCUGAUGGUCAGGAAGAGUAUCCAAGAUCGAGUCUUUGGGACUAGUGAAUUGAACGAGACGUUGAUCGAGAAGUGAUUGAAAUGGGUAUUCAAAAAUAGCCAAGUUGUGUUGCAAGUUGAAGUUAGGCAGAGAUUGCUAUAGAUAGAAUCUUGUCAGAAGCUGGCAGAAAGGAAUGAUAUGGCACUACAUAGUGUUACUAGAACUCUGAGAUAGACACCGGAGUUAAGAUAAUGUUAAAGAUGGUUCGCCUAUUUAGGCUAAGCAUAAGAGUAAGGCUAGGCGAGGAUUGCAAGUGACUAAGUUUCAACCUGAUGGUCAGGAAGAGUAUCCAAGAUCGAGUCUUUGGGACUAGUGGUAAUUAGAGUUGUCUAAAUUUGAUUUAGUUGUAAAAACAUGUAAUAGGAUUUAUUAGUUUUACUUUUCUGAUUUCAAUACUAUAGCCUGUUUGCGAUCCUGUUUUAAAGGGGGUUAAACUUUGUUCUUUUAAAUCUUUUAUUAAAGCUUUUAGGUUUUCAAUUCUUUGA
Long non-coding RNA from Daucus carota subsp. sativus, 1185 nucleotides. RefSeq lists it as uncharacterized. The record is from RefSeq and is a predicted model, not a curated record. NCBI's taxonomy places the organism in Eukaryota, Viridiplantae, Streptophyta, Magnoliopsida, Apiales, Apiaceae. The transcript is spliced from 5 exons.